UGUAGUCUCGCACAGAUGCAUAUCAAUAAGCGGAGGAAAAGAAACUAACAAGGAUUCCCUCAGUAACGGCGAGUGAAGCGGGAAGAGCUCAAAUUUGAAAUCUUCAAGGUUUUACCUUGACGAAUUGUAGUUUAAAGAAGUGUUUUCUGUUGAAGUUUUGGUAAAAGUUCUUUGGAAUAGGACAUCAUAGAGGGUGAGAAUCCCGUAUUUGACCAUUAUUUUCAGCUGUGUGAUACACUUUCAAAGAGUCGGAUUGUUUGGGAAUGCAGUCCAAAAUGGGUGGUAAAUUUCAUCUAAAGCUAAAUAUUGGCGAGAGACCGAUAGCGAACAAGUACCGUGAGGGAAAGAUGAAAAGAACUUUGAAAAGAGAGUUAAACAGUACGUGAAAUUGUCAAAAGGGAAGCGUUUGACACCAGUGUUGUUUUCUCGAAAAUCAAUUAAAAAGAGUUUGAUUUUGUUGUGUAUUGACCUUAACAGCUUGCAUUUCAAUUUUCUUGCUUUUUUUAAUGCACUUUUCGUUUAACAAGUCAACAUCAGUUUCUUUUGUUGUAAAAAGGUCAUUGGAAGGUGGCUUUCUUUUCGGAGAAAGUGUUUAUAGCCCUUGACUCCUGCAAUCGGAGAGACUGAGGUCUGCAGCGUAGAUCCUUCGGGGUUAGAUACAUUUGUGCUAAGUUAUAGCUUUUUAUAGACAACUUGUUGACUAUGAUUAGUCUUGUAGCUUACUCGCUUAUGCUAUUUUACCUACGCUUAGGAUGUUGAGCGCAUGUCUCUCUCU
RNAcentral lists this ribosomal RNA (775 nucleotides) under uncultured Neocallimastigales. RNAcentral's name for it is "partial large subunit ribosomal RNA". It matches the Rfam family "Eukaryotic large subunit ribosomal RNA", at positions 24 to 616 of the family's 3401-position model. The record is from RNAcentral. Lineage: Eukaryota; Fungi; Neocallimastigomycota; Neocallimastigomycetes; Neocallimastigales.